GCAAAAUGAACAACGAACAAGCGAAAACCACCGAAAAUGAAGAUUUGUUGCCAAAAAGAAAAGGAAAGUCAGUUAUCUGGAAUUAUUUCGGUUAAAAGAAGGAUGAUGUCGACCAAAACACGUCUUCUGUGUUCAUCUGUUGCCACAAUAACGUCCCAGCACAAUAAAAGCUAAAAAUAUCUCUGAGACAGACAGAAGCCGUUCUACUAACAUUCACAAAAAGAGGUAAGAUCAGAGCAGAUUAACUGUCCUCAAGAUUUCAGCAGUGCAGCAUAACAUUAAGUGCUAU
RNAcentral lists this long non-coding RNA (289 nucleotides) under Xyrichtys novacula (pearly razorfish). The record is from RNAcentral. Lineage: Eukaryota; Metazoa; Chordata; Actinopteri; Labriformes; Labridae.